This 1123-nucleotide long non-coding RNA is filed under the name Homo sapiens (human). RNAcentral describes it as "non-protein coding lnc-TRIM49B-9:1". Lineage: Eukaryota; Metazoa; Chordata; Mammalia; Primates; Hominidae. The record is from RNAcentral.
AUAAAACUUGCCUAAGGUUACACAGCCGAGUUUUUCAGUUUUAUUCUUCUAGAGCACAAUUUUCCGGCCUGUUACUGAGUACGGUCUUCUAACAGGUACACAAUUAACUCAUAAGUAGACAACACAAUGGCAGUAUUUGGGAUCCGCCGGAUAAGCUGGGCAAACAGUCCUCUAUAAAAGGCGAGGUAGCCUUCUUCCUGGAACACCAGGCGCGCCGUCUGGACAAAAGACUUGUACUUGGUGCCCUCUUCCCGGAGCCUCGUCCUUAUAACUUCGUGUGGAUAAGCAAUGCAGGAGGCACAGCCCUUAGAAAGAGCAGCAGCUGCCAUAAGUCCAAAAAAACUUGUGGAAUUUUUCUCAGUCCCAUUUGCAGAAGAGGCUAAUGGAGCUUCUUUCAGAUACUUCUUUAAACUUUCAUAAAUAGCAAAGCAGAUUAUAGUUUCGGAAAUUCCAGCAUACGAGGCAGUUAAUCCUCUAUAGAAGCCACGAAUGCCUUCGGUCUGGUAAACGUAACGAGCACACUGGAGUGUAUUCACCUGCUUAAAGCCCCUCACUUUCUGUUCUAGCUGCAUUCGGGUUUUAACCAUCCAUAUAGGAUUCAUUAAGGAAUUUGUGAUAAAAGCUGCAGAGCCAGCUGAGAAAAUAUGCACAAUAUUGCUGUUAGGCACGAAAAUGCCAUUAAAUUGCUCUUUGGCUUUGGAGUAACAUGCAAAGUAUACAGCCCUUGAUGGUGCAACUCCAACCAAAUUUGGACCCAAGCCUCUAAAAAGUGACUUUGGUCCCUCUUUCUCCAAGAUCGACUUCAGAACCUGAAAGAGUCCAGGUGUCACGGAUGUUGGUCUCACCAUUCCAGCUCCACUAAUGGUCCCCAGAUGAACCUGAGGAUAGUAGACUGUCCGGAGAGCUAAUCUUAAAGACUGCAACCGUGUCUUAAUGACUUCUAGUGGACAAGUGAAAAUAGCACCAACUGUGCCUCCACACCCGCCGGCGAAGAGGUGAAGCAGCGUGUUCUCCUUCUGCUGGCCGCCCGUCGCCAUGGCCGCGCCGGCUCCGCGGCCCGUCGCCGCCCGGUGGCGAGAGCGCGUGGCGGCUCGAGGGAUGCGCGGAGGUCGCCGGGUCUUGU